CCUACGGGUGGCAGCAGUAGGGAAUAUUGCUCAAUGGGGGAAACCCUGAAGCAGCAACGCCGCGUGGAGGAUGAAGGUUUUCGGAUUGUAAACUCCUUUUGUUAGAGAAGAUAAUGACGGUAUCUAACGAAUAAGCACCGGCUAACUCCGUGCCAGCAGCCGCGGUAAUACGGAGGGUGCAAGCGUUACUCGGAAUCACUGGGCGUAAAGGGCGCGUAGGCGGGAUAGCAAGUCAGAUGUGAAAUCCUAUGGCUUAACCAUAGAACUGCAUUUGAAACCGUUAGUCUAGAGUAUGGGAGGGGUAGGUGGAAUUCUUGGUGUAGGGGUAAAAUCCGUAGAGAUCAAGAGGAAUACUCAUUGCGAAGGCGACCUGCUAGAACAUAACUGACGCUGAUGCGCGAAAGCGUGGGGAGCAAACAGGAUUAGAUACCCGGGUAGUC
This 440-nucleotide ribosomal RNA is filed under the name uncultured bacterium. RNAcentral's name for it is "partial 16S ribosomal RNA". It matches the Rfam family "Bacterial small subunit ribosomal RNA", at positions 338 to 795 of the family's 1533-position model. The record is from RNAcentral.